UUCAUACGAUACAAAAAUAUAUUUACUAUCUAUAAAUAUAUUUUCAGCAACAAUAUUCUAGAAACACAAAAUAUAUUUGAAACAAAUCUUUCAUAUUUUUAGCGACAAUAUUCUCCAUCCAUCAAUUUUUGAGUCAAUUUUGAUGUGAAUGAAUGAAUAAACUGGCUGCAAACUCACGUGAGUGAUUCCGAUUCAUUUUUACAUUGCCUUCUUAUGAUGUCACUUACAUUCUCACUAGUCACUACAUUACAAACAAAUUAACAAAAGGAAAAAACACUAUGCAGCACUAGAUGAUAAAACAAACAAAAAAACAAUACGUAAAAUAUUUAUUUUGUCACAUGAACCAUUCAAUUAU
This 355-nucleotide long non-coding RNA is filed under the name Medicago truncatula (barrel medic). Its description in RNAcentral is "long non-coding RNA (MTRU_LNC001122)". Lineage: Eukaryota; Viridiplantae; Streptophyta; Magnoliopsida; Fabales; Fabaceae. The record is from RNAcentral.